RNAcentral lists this ribosomal RNA (468 nucleotides) under uncultured bacterium. Its description in RNAcentral is "partial 16S ribosomal RNA". It matches the Rfam family "Bacterial small subunit ribosomal RNA", at positions 28 to 507 of the family's 1533-position model. The record is from RNAcentral.
GACGAACGCUGGCGGCGUGCUUAACACAUGCAAGUCGAACGGAAAGGCCCUGCUUUUGUGGGGUGCUCGAGUGGCGAACGGGUGAGUAACACGUGAGUAACCUGCCCUUGACUUUGGGAUAACUUCAGGAAACUGGGGCUAAUACCGGAUAGGAGCUCCUGCUGCAUGGUGGGGGUUGGAAAGUUUCGGCGGUUGGGGAUGGACUCGCGGCUUAUCAGCUUGUUGGUGGGGUAGUGGCUUACCGAGGCUUUGACGGGUAGCCGGCCUGAGAGGGUGACCGGCCACAUUGGGACUGAGGUACGGCCCAGGCUCCUACGGGAGGCAGCAGUGGGGAAUAUUGCACAAUGGGCGGAAGCCUGAUGCAGCAACGCCGCGUGCGGGAUGACGGCCUUCGGGUUGUAAACCGCUUUCGCCUGUGACGAAGCGUGAGUGACGGUAAUGGGUAAAGAAGCACCGGCUAACUACGUG